Molecule: non-coding RNA, 30 nt
Filed under: Homo sapiens (human)
Lineage: Eukaryota; Metazoa; Chordata; Mammalia; Primates; Hominidae
Source: RNAcentral
UCUUCCUUAUGUCCAGCACCUGUGUGUCUA